AAAAAAAGCAAACAAAUGAACCAAGUCUUUCAUGAACCAUAAACAGAUCUUCCCUUACUCACAAAUCAAGAGUUUUCUCUGUUCCUCUCAGGUAUUGUCAUAAGGCCCUUAAUCUAGGAUUGGAAGACAACUUUUUGAUUUUAUGUCCUUCAAUAUAUGAUUUGUUGAAGUAUGUCCAUGCAAGUGGCUGCUUUUGUAUUUAGACCACGACCCUGUUAUAACCUCAUAUUACUUUAUUAAACACACAAGGCAAUGACCGUAAUGAGAAAAUACUAAAAGAUCCAAUGUAAAAUCAGUUUAUAGACCUAUCCCCACCAAAAUCAAGCAAAACACCUAGAACACUCAAAAUUGCUCAUUAAUUGGGUGUAGACCAUCUCAAUCUGAAGCAAAGCAAAAUGAAACAGCACUACCAAACAUUCAAGACAAUCAAAAGAUAAAUCAAAUCACUAGAGUAGCAAAGAUCCUAACUCCAAGUAUCCUAUGCCAUCAUUCUUCUAUGCUUGAAUUACACAUGAAGAGAGGCAUUGGAAAUAAUAGUAAAUAAUAAUAGUGUGAGAACAGUCGUAGGAGAUAAAAAAGAGUUUCUCAUAACCGUGGGUUGACUCAAGGGAUCGACGUUGAACCGUACUUGUUUACCCUAGUUAUGGAUGAACUAACUAACAAAAUACAAGAUGCGGUCCCAUGAGGUAUGUUAUUUGCUGACGAUAUUGGGUUAAUUAAUGAAAACAAGGGUGUCAACCAAAGGACUUAACUAUGGGGAAGCACUCUAGAGAAUAAGAAUUUUAGGAUAAGUAGAAGUAAGAUAAAACAUAUGCACUGAAAAUUAUAGACAACAUUAGAACAAUGAAUUGAUGU
RNAcentral lists this long non-coding RNA (855 nucleotides) under Nicotiana benthamiana. Its description in RNAcentral is "long non-coding RNA (NBEN_LNC021000)". Lineage: Eukaryota; Viridiplantae; Streptophyta; Magnoliopsida; Solanales; Solanaceae. The record is from RNAcentral.